GAUGAAGAACGUAGCGAAAUGCGAUACGUAGUGUGAAUUGCAGAAAUACGUGAACCAUCGAAUCUUUGAACGCAAAUUGCGCUCGAGGCUUCGGCCAAGAGCAUGUCUGCCUCAGCGUCGCUUUAAACCCUCACACCAUACUCCCUUGUGGAGCAUGUUUGUGGAACUGGCUUUCCCAGCUUUCCUUAAACCGAAGGCUGGGUUUGCUGAAGAGCAGAGGUUGAUGCAUGGACCCGUUAUGGGCCUCAGCUGGGUAGGUAAUUUAUUACUAAUGCUUUAGCUGUUGGCUUGGAUCUGUGCUGUCGACCCUAACCAGGAAUUGAGAAAGCCUUACCGCUUUCUCAAACUCUUCUAAUUUCGCCCUGAGCUCAGGCAAGAACACCCGCUGAACUUAAGCAUAUCAAUAAGCGGAGGA
This 415-nucleotide unclassified non-coding RNA is filed under the name soil metagenome. Its description in RNAcentral is "partial contains 5.8S ribosomal RNA, internal transcribed spacer 2, and large subunit ribosomal RNA". The stretch from base 1 to 120 matches the Rfam family "5.8S ribosomal RNA", at positions 35 to 154 of the family's 154-position model. The record is from RNAcentral.